CCUACGGGUGGCAGCAGUGAGGAAUAUUGGUCAAUGGCCGGAAGGCUGAACCAGCCAUGCCGCGUGAAGGUCAGUGCCCUAUGGGCGUUAAACUUCUUUUGUGCGGGAGCAAUAAUGGUCACGUGUGGCCAGACGAGAGUACCGUACGAAUAAGCAUCGGCUAACUCCGUGCCAGCAGCCGCGGCAAUACGGGGGAUGCAAGCGUUAUCCGGAUUUAUUGGGUUUAAAGGGUGCGUAAGCUGUGAGGUAAGUCAGCGGUGAAAUGCCCCCGGUGAACGGGGUGAAGUGCCAUUGAUACUGCCUUGCUUGAGUGCGGAUGAGGUGGGAGGAAUGUGUGGUGUAGCGGUGAAAUGCAUAGAUAUCACACAGAACACCGAUUGCGAAGGCAUCUCACGAAUCCGCGAUUGACGCUGAUGCACGAAAGCGUGGGUAUCAAACAGGAUUAGAUACCCUGGUAGUC
This 460-nucleotide ribosomal RNA is filed under the name uncultured bacterium. RNAcentral's name for it is "partial 16S ribosomal RNA". It matches the Rfam family "Bacterial small subunit ribosomal RNA", at positions 338 to 795 of the family's 1533-position model. The record is from RNAcentral.